CCUACGGGCGGCAGCAGUGAGGAAUAUUGGUCAAUGGGCGUAAGCCUGAACCAGCCAAGUCGCGUGAAGGAUGAAGGAUCUAUGGUUUGUAAACUUCUUUUAUAUGGGAAUAAAGUGAGGAACGUGUUCCGUUUUGUAUGUACCAUAUGAAUAAGCAUCGGCUAAAUCCGUGCCAGCAGCCGCGGUAAUACGGAGGAUGCGAGCGUUAUCCGGAUUUAUUGGGUUUAAAGGGUGCGUAGGUGGUAAAUCAAGUCAGCGGUGAAAGUUUGUGGCUCAACCAUAAAAUUGCCGUGGAAACUGGGUGGCUAGAGUAUAGUUGAGGUAGGCGGAAUUCGUGGUGUAGCGGUGAAAUGCUUAGAUAUCACGAAGAACUCCGAUUGCGAAGGCAGCUUACUAAACUGCCACUGACAUUGAUGCUCGAAAGUGUGGGUAUCAAACAGGAUUAGAUACCCCAGUAGUC
Molecule: ribosomal RNA, 460 nt
Filed under: uncultured bacterium
Lineage: Bacteria
Description: partial 16S ribosomal RNA
Rfam family: Bacterial small subunit ribosomal RNA
Source: RNAcentral